CAGUUUCAACAACGGAUCUCUUGGUUCUCGCAUCGAUGAAGAACGCAGGGAAAUGCGAUAAGUACUGUGAAUUGCAGAUUUCAGUGAAUCAUCGAAUCUUUGAACGCACCUUGCGCUCCUUGGUAUUCCGAGGAGCAUGCCUGUUUGAGUGUCA
Molecule: ribosomal RNA, 154 nt
Filed under: uncultured fungus
Lineage: Eukaryota; Fungi
Description: partial 5.8S ribosomal RNA
Rfam family: 5.8S ribosomal RNA
About the family: 5.8S ribosomal RNA (5.8S rRNA) is a component of the large subunit of the eukaryotic ribosome. It is transcribed by RNA polymerase I as part of the 45S precursor that also contains 18S and 28S rRNA. Functionally, it is thought that 5.8S rRNA may be involved in ribosome translocation.
Source: RNAcentral